Molecule: ribosomal RNA, 301 nt
Filed under: uncultured bacterium
Lineage: Bacteria
Description: partial 16S ribosomal RNA
Rfam family: Bacterial small subunit ribosomal RNA
Source: RNAcentral
CAGUAGCCGCGGGAAUACGUAGGUGGCAAGCGUUGUCCGGAAUUAUUGGGCGUAAAGCGCGCGCAGGCGGAUAGGUCAGUCUGUCUUAGAAGCUCGGGGCUUAACCCCGUGAUGGGAUGGAAACUGCCAAUCUAGAGUAUCGGAGAGGAAAGUGGAAUUCCUAGUGUAGCGGUGAAAUGCGUAGAUAUUAGGAAGAACACCAGUGGCGAAGGCGACUUUCUGGACGAAAACUGACGCUGAGGCGCGAAAGCCAGGGGAGCGAACGGGAUUAGAUACCCGCGUAGUCCCUGUCUCUUAUACA